UGAGGAAUAUUGGUCAAUGGGCGAGAGCCUGAACCACCCAAGUCGCGUGAAGGAAGACAGUCCUAAGGAUUGUAAACUUCUUUUAUACGGGAAUAACGGGCGAUACGAGUAUUGCAUUGAAUGUACCGUAAGAAUAAGCAUCGGCUAACUCCGUGCCAGCAGCCGCGGUAAUACGGAGGAUGCGAGCGUUAUCCGGAUUUAUUGGGUUUAAAGGGUGCGUAGGUUGUUCGGUAAGUCAGCGGUGAAACCUGAGCGCUCAACGUUCAGCCUGCCGUUGAAACUGCCGGGCUUGAGUUCAGUGGCGGCAGGCGGAAUUCGUGGUGUAGCGGUGAAAUGCAUAGAUAUCACGAGGAACUCCGAUUGCGAAGGCAGCUUGCCAUACUGCGACUGACACUGAAGCACGAAGGCGUGGGUAUCAAACAGG
RNAcentral lists this ribosomal RNA (424 nucleotides) under Fusobacteriota bacterium. RNAcentral describes it as "Fusobacteria bacterium partial 16S ribosomal RNA". It matches the Rfam family "Bacterial small subunit ribosomal RNA", at positions 355 to 776 of the family's 1533-position model. Lineage: Bacteria; Fusobacteriati; Fusobacteriota. The record is from RNAcentral.